AUUAAGACCCUGGGCAUCAGCCUUGUAGGAACCAUCUCUUCUUAUUCUGAUGCUUUGACAUCUUGGGGCCUAUGCUGACCCUGAAGAGACUGUGCUUCUCAGGAGUAGCCAAUUCCAACAGAUAGUCAAGGGUUCUCCAGUGAGUACACCUUCUAUGUGCAAACUAGUCAAUUCAGAGCCCAUACACCAACCAUCCUCUUUAUCAAGACCUUACAAACUCUCACACUCUAGGUGACUAUUUCCCUGUCCUAAUCAUCCCAGAGCCAGGUAUCAGACAACUAGGGGUGUCCCUAUGCCCCAGAGCCCACUGAAAUUAUUCAAACUAGUCAGUCCUAUGCAUGUAUAUUUGUCUCACCUGUGUUUCCUGCAGAAACCACAAUAAAGGCUCUUGUCCAUGUUCCCUCCCCCAUCCUGCCUCCUGACUGACUGACCCUGGUGCUGCCUGGCGUGACCCUGCGUGGUGUGGCCCCUCCUCUUGGGAACUAAUCUAGAUGUAAUGGCUGGAACUCAAGCAGCCGUCUGGGAGUUUAAGCAGCUCAAGCCCUGUGCAGAGGAGAGUGAGACAAUGGAAGGAACGUAUACCGUGGAGCACUACACCAGCCUGAGCACAGGCUCCGGACGCGCAGGCUCAGCGGCCAUGGCUCAAGGGCCC
Long non-coding RNA from Aethalodelphis obliquidens (Pacific white-sided dolphin), 652 nucleotides. RefSeq lists it as uncharacterized. The record is from RefSeq and is a predicted model, not a curated record. NCBI's taxonomy places the organism in Eukaryota, Metazoa, Chordata, Mammalia, Artiodactyla, Delphinidae. The transcript is spliced from 3 exons.